UAAGUCAGCCACGAAUAGGCUAUCCCAACUAACGGCGGGAAAGACUCCACGGAGGGUGUAAGACCCGUGUGGGCGCGUGUCAAAGCUGUGCGGGCUCGGCCUCUUUUCCCUGAGAGUCGCGUUGCUUGAGCAUGCAGCGCUAAGCAGGUCGUAAACUCGAUCUAAGGCUAAAUAUCUCCACAGAACCGAUAGCGAACAAGUACCGUGAGGGAAAGUUGAAAAGCACUCUGGAGAGAGAGUCAAAAGACCGUGAAACCGCUCAGAGUAUAAGCCCAUGGCAGCUUGGAAGGCAUAUCGCUAGCGGGGCAUCGGUCUCCCUUCACGGGGAGCUGGUGUUACCUUGCUUCUGUUGUGGCUCGUUAUGGUAGGGGGGUCAAGUCCACAUCCCGCCGUCGUGUGGGGAGUUCUCGGGCGUGUCGUUGCUUUGCGGUUGACUUCGGUUGGCCGUAGGGCUCUUCGCGCUUGGUUCUCCUUUUUAGACACGAACGUUCAGACUCAGUUGCAAGACGCGAUAACCAGCCCACCACGGCACGUUGUGAGGUCACCCACAGGCUUGGCUUUCGAUUGUGGUCCUUGACGCCGAGCAAGCACAAUGCGUGUCGCAGAUGUUCCUAACCGGGCAAUGGGCCAGGAUCGUGGAACGACACGCGCUCAAAAGUCAGGACCGGGCGAUGACAAAGUUCUGGUAUGAUCCUCAUGCGACGAGCCGGCUUCUGGCCGAUUCCGAUGCUCAGGUCUCCCGCAUGUGCCGCGGGAGAUCGCUUUGGCGGUCUGGA
Molecule: ribosomal RNA, 776 nt
Filed under: Gammarus sp. Gsp3b
Lineage: Eukaryota; Metazoa; Arthropoda; Malacostraca; Amphipoda; Gammaridae
Description: eukaryotic LSU rRNA
Rfam family: Eukaryotic large subunit ribosomal RNA
Source: RNAcentral